GCAGGAAGACUUUCAAAAAUAUUUAAUGAUUUAUUUGGUUUUGCUGGGUCUUCAUUGCAGCAUGUGAAAUCUAAUUCCCUGACCAAAGAUUGAACCCCAGCCCCCUGCACUGGGAGUGUGAAUCCUAGCCAUUGGACCAUCAGGGAAGUACCAGGAUUCAGGAAGAUUUUUAAAAGAAGGUGGAAAGGAGCACCCAUGCUAUGGAACCAGAGGCCUCUGGGAUCAUCAGCAGCUCAUUCAAGUGGCAGUUCAGGUAUAGCCAAGGGCCACAUGAAGAAUCACAUGUCACCAGCAAGAACCUGAAGAAAAACAGAAAAUUAAGUCCUGCUGCCCUAACACCUACUCCCUGGUUUGACAUCCAGGGACCUUGCCAUGGAAAUGCUCAUGGGUUGGAGUGGAGAGGUACAGAAUGGUCUGCUGUGAUGUACGAAAUCCUUGGUUUGGGGGACGUUAAGAGAGUCAAACCCUGA
This 470-nucleotide long non-coding RNA is filed under the name Bos indicus x Bos taurus (hybrid cattle). Its description in RNAcentral is "lncRNA (ENSBIXG00000006080.1)". Lineage: Eukaryota; Metazoa; Chordata; Mammalia; Artiodactyla; Bovidae. The record is from RNAcentral.